This 534-nucleotide ribosomal RNA is filed under the name uncultured bacterium. RNAcentral's name for it is "bacterial SSU rRNA". It matches the Rfam family "Bacterial small subunit ribosomal RNA", at positions 296 to 847 of the family's 1533-position model. The record is from RNAcentral.
GAGGUUGAACGGCCACAUUGGGACUGAGAUACGGCCCAGACUCCUACGGGAGGCAGCAGUCGGGAAUAUUGCGCAAUGGAGGAAACUCUGACGCAGUGACGCCGCGUAUAGGAAGAAGGUUUUCGGAUUGUAAACUAUUGUCGUGAGGGAAGAAAUUGACAGUACCUCAGGAGGAAGCUCCGGCUAACUAUGUGCCAGCAGCCGCGGUAAUACAUAGGGAGCAAGCGUUAUCCGGAUUUAUUGGGUGUAAAGGGUGCGUAGACGGGAAAUUAAGUUAGUUGUGAAAUCCCUUGGCUUAACUGAGGAACUGCAACUAAAACUGGUUUUCUUGAGUACUGGAGAGGAAAGUGGAAUUCCUAGUGUAGCGGUGAAAUGCGUAGAUAUUAGGAGGAACACCAGUGGCGAAGGCGACUUUCUGGACAGUAACUGACGUUGAGGCACGAAAGUGUGGGGAGCAAACAGGAUUAGAUACCCUGGUAGUCCACACUGUAAACGAUGGAUACUAGGUGUAGGGUGUAUUAAGCACUUUGUGCC